Molecule: ribosomal RNA, 253 nt
Filed under: uncultured bacterium
Lineage: Bacteria
Description: partial 16S ribosomal RNA
Rfam family: Bacterial small subunit ribosomal RNA
Source: RNAcentral
UACGAAGGGGGCUAGCGUUGUUCGGAAUUACUGGGCGUAAAGCGCACGUAGGCGGGUUGUUAAGUCAGGGGUGAAAUCCUGGAGCUCAACUCCAGAACUGCCUUUGAUACUGGCAACCUAGAGGCUGGAAGAGGUUAGUGGAAUUCCCAGUGUAGAGGUGAAAUUCGUAGAUAUUGGGAAGAACACCAGUGGCGAAGGCGGCUAACUGGUCCAGAUCUGACGCUGAGGUGCGAAAGCGUGGGGAGCAAACAGG